GAUGAACGCUAGCGGCAGGCCUAACACAUGCAAGUCGAGGGAGAAGCCCUUCGGGGCAGAAACCGGCGCACGGGUGCGUAACGCGUAUGCAACCUACCUUUCACAGGGGGAUAGCCCGAAGAAAUUUGGAUUAAUACCCCAUAAUAUUAUUGGAUGGCAUCAUUUGAUAAUUAAAAUUACGAUGGUGAAAGAUGGGCAUGCGUCCUAUUAGCUAGUUGGAGUGGUAACGGCACCCCAAGGCUACGAUAGGUAGGGGUCCUGAGAGGGAGAUCCCCCACACUGGUACUGAGACAGGGACCAGACUCCUACGGGAGGCAGCAGUGAGGAAUAUUGGUCAAUGGUCGGAAGACUGAACCAGCCAUGCCGCGUGCAGGAAGAAUGCCUUAUGGGUUGUAAACUGCUUUUAUAUGGGAAGAAUAAGGAGUACGUG
Molecule: ribosomal RNA, 430 nt
Filed under: Capnocytophaga granulosa
Lineage: Bacteria; Pseudomonadati; Bacteroidota; Flavobacteriia; Flavobacteriales; Flavobacteriaceae
Description: bacterial SSU rRNA
Rfam family: Bacterial small subunit ribosomal RNA
Source: RNAcentral